This 261-nucleotide ribosomal RNA is filed under the name Sibatania mactata. RNAcentral describes it as "partial 28S rRNA". It matches the Rfam family "Eukaryotic large subunit ribosomal RNA", at positions 95 to 337 of the family's 3401-position model. Lineage: Eukaryota; Metazoa; Arthropoda; Insecta; Lepidoptera; Geometridae. The record is from RNAcentral.
GAACAGGAAAUAGCCCAGCACUGAAUCCCGCCGUUGUAACGGCGGCGGGAGAUGUGGUGUUCGGGAGGUUCCGCUUUCUUGUCGUCGUCCACUCCUGUCCAAGUUCGUCUUGAACGGGGCCCAUUUCCCACAGAGGGUGCCAGGCCCGUAGCGACGGAGGACGGCGGCGAGAGGGACUCUCCUCAGAGUCGGGUUGCUUGAGAGUGCAGCCCUAAGCGGGUGGUAAACUCCAUCUAAGGCUAAAUAUUACCGCGAGACCGA